Equus caballus (horse) is the source of this 1578-nucleotide long non-coding RNA. NCBI's taxonomy places the organism in Eukaryota, Metazoa, Chordata, Mammalia, Perissodactyla, Equidae. The record is from Ensembl.
CCCCGCGCCGCGCGCCCUCCCGCGCGCCCACCCGGGCCCCGCCCGCGCCCCGGACGGCGCCCCCGCCGGAGGGCCCAGAUCAUACAUAUAAUUUCCUGUGCGGCUCUCAGUAUCUCCAAGACCUAGGAUGCUCCUUGAGAGGUAUGAUACUAUUUUGAGUGUAUUCCUGCUUAUGUAAACGAGAGCUUUCUAGAAGAGAUAAUGGUUAUGAACACUGGCCCUUAACCAAGAAACAGAAGUUGAAUGAACUGCGGGAAGAUAAACUUCACUUUGCUGUGAUUUCAGAACUGAUAUCAGCAGGCAGUUGUCUAAAAACUAUAUUUGUUUUCCUAAUCUGCUACUUUUCACGACAAUUAUAUUUGGUAAGGAAAACAUUCUAUUGAAGAGAUGCAACAGAUUCAUCAUCCUCAUUUUUUUUUACCUGACUGUUUGCCUCGCUACAGUGGUGUCUUCCCUCUGUCACCCUCAGACUGCCCUCCCGUGACUAGCCCCUGAUACUUCAGUACCGUCCGUCCUCUUAGGCCUCAGGAUUCAACAGCUUCCUGUGCAGGAAGACUCCACCAUCCUCCGUUUUGAACACGAGCGUUUCCACGCAGCACCAUGAGCUGACGCUCCCCAGGGCACUGUAAAUAACCAUUUUGGAGGUGGAAUUAAUGUCAUGUCUCAUUUUGAAGGCAAUGUCAUCUGAUCUCUUUUGAGUAGUAAUUAAAGUAACUGUAGGCAUACUUAUCUACUGGGAAAAGCUUUCAUGAUUAGCAGGUAAAAGAUGGGCUGGAUUAUCUAGAGAUCAAAGUUUGGUAAGGAGAUUUCCUGCAUAUGCUGGUGACCCACUGACUACUUAAUGAGUGGCCAGGCCAGAGACAACUCCAGUAUCUGUUAGUUAAUCAACAGAACACAUUGUACAAACAUCUGUUUACAAGUACCGUUGGUGCAUCCUUUACAUCCAGAUGCAAUGAAGACAACUGUUGGAAAAUUAGGAAAAAUGUGAUAGGACCAUGGUUCCUAAACGUCAGUGCCUGUCAGAAUCACCUGGACAGCUUGUUAAAACACAGAUUACCAAGCCUCACCUCAAAGAUUCUGAUUCAUACGUCCGUGAUGGGCCCUAGAAUUUGCAUUUCUAGCAAGUUCCCAAGUGAUGCACUGCUCGUCUGAACACUACACUUAGAGAACAACUUGUGAGAAGCUUGUUUUGUACCUUUAAAUUAUAUAGUUAGUUUACAAUUUUAAAUAGAAACUCAACUAUGAUAUCAUAAAUUUUUCAAAUGUAUUUUCAAAAUGUAUUCCAUAUGGUUACGUACCGUCAUGUAUUAAAGAAUCUACUUUUCCUUUUAAUUUUUUGGAUUUGUUUUUUCUUCUUGUUAGUCUUCAUUUCAUUCUUAACCCAAGCUAUGUCUUUUUUCCCCCUCUCAUUGUCUCGGUAAGAUUUCCCAAUUUUAUGCUAUUAUAUAUUGCAGGAGCAGUCAUUCUUUCUUGAGUAAUUUUUCAAAUUAGAAUUCUCUAUCAGAUCGUAAGCUCCUUGGAAGAAGGAACCAUGCGCUAUUCAUUUUUUAAUCCGUAUGCCCUUCCCAUCAUUGAUGC